Molecule: non-coding RNA, 402 nt
Organism: Hemibagrus wyckioides
Lineage: Eukaryota; Metazoa; Chordata; Actinopteri; Siluriformes; Bagridae
Source: the annotation of a RefSeq genome assembly
AUGUUCACUGUUAUAUUCAUGUAUCUGUGGCUUUCUCUAGGUGACUCCGUGGCAGAUUCAAUAGAGCCACUUUUCACUCACAAAGUUGUAGAUGAAGGUGAUGAUGUUACUCUGUCCUGCAGCUACAAAGGCUUCAGUGGUAACAUAUAUAAUGUGCAGUGGUACAGACAAUAUCCAAAAUCUAAACCUGAGUUCCUGCUUUAUAUUCACCAAGAUGGAGAUCGAAGUCCAAACAUUCCCCCUAGAAUGUCUGUUAACAUUGCUGGAGAUAAACAAGUGUAUCUGAACAUCUCCUCUGCUGCUGUAUCAGACUCUGCUCUAUACUACUGUGCUCUGAGACCCACAGUGACAGGAAAUCCAGCUGCACUGUACAAAAACUUUCACACAGUUUUGUUAUAUUGA